GACGAACGCUGGCGGCGUGCUUAACACAUGCAAGUCGAACGGAAAGGCCCUGCUUUUGUGGGGUGCUCGAGUGGCGAACGGGUGAGUAACACGUGAGUAACCUGCCCUUGACUUUGGGAUAACUUCAGGAAACUGGGGCUAAUACCGGAUAGGAUCUCCUGCUGCAUGGUGGGGGUUGGAAAGUUUCGGCUGUUGGGGAUGGACUCGCGGCUUAUCAGCUUGUUGGUGGGGUAGUGGCUUACCAAGGCUUUGACGGGUAGCCGGCCUGAGAGGGUGACCGGCCACAUUGGGACUGAGAUACGGACCAGACUCCUACGGGAGGCAGCAGGGGGGAAUAUUGCACAAUGGGAGGAAGCCUGAUGCAGAAACGCCGCGUGCGGGAUGACGGCCUUCGGGUUGUAAACCGCUUUCGCCUGUGACGAAGCGUGAGUGACGGUAAUGGGUAAAGAAGCACCGGCUAACUACGUG
RNAcentral lists this ribosomal RNA (468 nucleotides) under uncultured bacterium. RNAcentral describes it as "partial 16S ribosomal RNA". It matches the Rfam family "Bacterial small subunit ribosomal RNA", at positions 28 to 507 of the family's 1533-position model. The record is from RNAcentral.